GGAUUUUCUAUUUUGGAAGUUGCAGAUAAGUUGGUAGCUAUUUGAUUAAUCCUUGCUGCCUAGUUGGCAAAAUUGUUAAGCCUGGUAUGUCUGAGAACAGAAAACUGGAUAGAUGCUCUCCUUCUUUGGAACAUAAUGCCACUGACCUUUAAUGUAUACAUGCUUUGUUUCUGGUCGUGUGGUUAAAUGUUGUUGGAUUUUGAUGUCCUGUAUGUA
RNAcentral lists this unclassified non-coding RNA (216 nucleotides) under Hevea brasiliensis (rubber tree). Lineage: Eukaryota; Viridiplantae; Streptophyta; Magnoliopsida; Malpighiales; Euphorbiaceae. The record is from RNAcentral.